GGUGGCUCAGAGGUAGAGUGCUUGCCUUGCAUGCAUGAGGCCCUAGGUUCAAUUCCUCAGCACCA
RNAcentral lists this transfer RNA (65 nucleotides) under Dipodomys ordii (Ord's kangaroo rat). It matches the Rfam family "tRNA". From Rfam's summary of the family: Transfer RNA (tRNA) molecules are approximately 80 nucleotides in length. Their secondary structure includes four short double-helical elements and three loops (D, anti-codon, and T loops). Further hydrogen bonds mediate the characteristic L-shaped molecular structure. tRNAs have two regions of fundamental functional importance: the anti-codon, which is responsible for specific mRNA codon recognition, and the 3' end, to which the tRNAs corresponding amino acid is attached (by aminoacyl-tRNA synthetases). tRNAs cope with the degeneracy of the genetic code in two manners: having more than one tRNA (with a specific anti-codon) for a particular amino acid; and 'wobble' base-pairing, i.e. permitting non-standard base-pairing at the 3rd anti-codon position. Lineage: Eukaryota; Metazoa; Chordata; Mammalia; Rodentia; Heteromyidae. The record is from Rfam by way of RNAcentral.